RNAcentral lists this long non-coding RNA (585 nucleotides) under Parus major (Great Tit). RNAcentral's name for it is "lncRNA (ENSPMJG00000014520.1)". Lineage: Eukaryota; Metazoa; Chordata; Aves; Passeriformes; Paridae. The record is from RNAcentral.
CUCUUUUAAAAGCUGUCAAGCAGUAUUUUGCCUCCCUGGAAAAAAAAUGUCCACAUAUCCCAUUCCUGCUGUUCAGCAGCAGCAGCAGCCUGGAAUGGACACCCAGGAAGUUCAACUGAGUGGAGCAGGUUCAAAAAGCAUUUAUUUAACUGAAGAUAGAAUUGGCUGCCUUCUUCUGCAUGAAGAAAACAUUCUCUAUGGCCUUUUACUUCCAUUACUUCCUCUUUUUUUUGGAGGAAGAAUCAAAAACCAUUUGCAAUGAUUAUACAGAAUGGACAUAAUACUCUCUUGGCAGGGCUAGCUGUAAGGCUUUCACAGACUGCAGCACCCUGGAUCCAUUCCUGAUCUACUCAGCCUGUAUGAAACUAUAUUUGUGUCCCAACGUGGUCCUACACAAAUGGCAGGAAGAUUUCCUCACUUUUACUUUGGGAGGAGAUACGACUUUGCUGCUGGAAAUAGACUGAAUAUUGCAAUCACAGGAAAUAAUGACACAUCAAAAUAGAUCUUAAAAUUUUGUAAACUGUCUAAAGGAAAUACCAAAUCUGGCCUGGAAAUAAAGAGUUUCUGGAUCAGUGUUAGUGAACA